Molecule: ribosomal RNA, 512 nt
Filed under: Stenotrophomonas sp. N9(2013)
Lineage: Bacteria; Pseudomonadati; Pseudomonadota; Gammaproteobacteria; Lysobacterales; Lysobacteraceae
Description: bacterial SSU rRNA
Rfam family: Bacterial small subunit ribosomal RNA
Source: RNAcentral
GGAAGGGCGGCAGCUACACAUGCAGUCGAGCGGCAGCACAGUAAGAGCUUGCUCUUAUGGGUGGCGAGUGGCGGACGGGUGAGGAAUACAUCGGAAUCUACUUUUUCGUGGGGGAUAACGUAAGGAAACUUACGCUAAUACCGCAUACUACCUACGGGUGAAAGCAGGGGAUCUUCGGACCUUGCGCGAUUGAAUGAGCCGAUGUCGGAUUAGCUAGUUGGCGGGGUAAAGGCCCACCAAGGCGACGAUCCGUAUCUGGUCUGAAAGGAUGAUCAGCCACACUGGAACUGAGACACGGUCCAGACUCCUACGGGAGGCAGCAGUGGGGAAUAUUGGACAAUGGGCGCGAGCCUGAUCCAGCCAUACCGCGUGGGUGAAGAAGGCCUUCGGGUUGUAAAGCCCUUUUGUUGGUAAAGAAAUCCAGCCGGCUAAUACCUGGUUGGGAUGACGGUACCCAAAGAAUAAGCACCGGCUAACUUCUUGCCACCAGCCGGGGGUAAACAAAUAUACAA